This 98-nucleotide ribosomal RNA is filed under the name Odoribacter sp. 43_10. Lineage: Bacteria; Pseudomonadati; Bacteroidota; Bacteroidia; Bacteroidales; Odoribacteraceae. The record is from RNAcentral.
ACCGGGGGGAUCCACCUCUUUCCAUUCCGAACAGAGAAGUUAAGCCCCUGAGUGCCGAUGGUACUGCCUUAUGGUGGGAGAGUAGGUUGGCGCCGAAU